This 942-nucleotide ribosomal RNA is filed under the name Maevius indecorus. RNAcentral describes it as "SSU rRNA". It matches the Rfam family "Eukaryotic small subunit ribosomal RNA", at positions 446 to 1280 of the family's 1831-position model. The record is from RNAcentral. Lineage: Eukaryota; Metazoa; Arthropoda; Insecta; Hemiptera; Hyocephalidae.
CACUCCCGGCACGGGGAGGUAGUGACAAAAAAUAACGAUACGGGACUCAUCCGAGGCCCCGUAAUCGGAAUGAGAACACCCUAAAUCCUUUAACGAUUUAUCGGAGGGCAAGUCUGGUGCCAGCAGCCGCGGUAAUUCCAGCUCCGAUAGCGUAUAUUAAAGUUGUUGCGGUUAAAAAGCUCGUAGUUGGUUCUGCGUGCCACGCUGUCGGUUCACCGCCUGUCGGUGCAACUGGCAUGCCGUGGCAUGUCCUGUCGGUGGCGGAUAGGCUUCGUGGCGUGCCCUGUGCGGUUCGCGCCGUGUAGGCUGCCGCGCCGCGUUGUCCUUGUACGCCGGCUCAAUCCUACCGCGGUGCUCUUUACCGAGUGUCGAGGUAGGCCGACACUGUUUACUUUGAACAAAUUAGAGUGCUCAAAGCAGGCUCUUAAAUCAGCCUGAAUAGUGGUGCAUGGAAUAAUGGAACAGGACCUUGGUUCUAUUUUGUUGGUUUUCGGAAUCCAAGGUAAUGAUCAAUAAGGACAGGCGGGGGCAUUCGUAUUGCGACGUUAGACUUGGCAAAUGCUUUCGCGGUGAAAUUCUUGGAUCGUCGCAAGACGCACUAGAGCGAAAGCAUUUGCCAAGUAUGUCUUAAUUGAUCAAGAACGAAAGUUAGAGGUUCGAAGGCGAUCAGAUACCGCCCUAGUUCUAACCAUAAACGAUGCCAGCCAGCGAUCCGCCGACGUUCCUCCGAUGACUCGGCGGGGAGCUUUCCCCGGGAAACCAAAGCUUUUGGGUUCCGGGGGAAGUAUGGUUGCAAAGCUGAAACUUAAAGGAAUUGACGGAAGGGCACCACAAGGAGUGGAGCCUGCGGCUUAAUUUGACUCAACACGGGAAACCUCACCAGGCCCGGACAUUGGAAGGAUUGACAGAUCGAUAGCUCUUUCUCGAUUCAGUGGGUAGUGG